UGCGUUAAUUCAAAUUUAAGCGCACUUUCGUAUGCGCAGUACUGAGGGAGUCAAUGUGCAUCACAUCUGCAAGUCGUACAUACAGUUAAUUGUUUAUACUAUAAAUCUGAUUCUUAAUGCAUAAGUUUACUUUGAAAAAAAUCACCUGUUGAAGUGCAAGUGAUAAGGAAAUCAAGAGAGAUUGUGGAAGAAGUGCCGCAAUGACUGAAGAAAUUGGGAUGCGAAUCCUGGUAACCGAUAAGGGCCCCCCUCUGUCGCAUUUUGUAAAAUGUUUACGACGAGAGUGCCUUUUUUACUUGGUUUGCUGAUGACUAGCUAUCCUUGUUCCUAAAGAUGGCAGGUGUCGGAGAAGAGAUGUCAACAACGAGGGUAUUAACAGUGGAGAUCGGUUCUCAAUCCUUGGCAGCAAGCCAAAUGGAAGUUGUAAAGUUGGUAGCCCUGCCACGGGUAAAGGUUUAGUCAAACUGACGCAGUGGAACUGUUUGUACAGCUAA
Photinus pyralis (common eastern firefly) is the source of this 494-nucleotide long non-coding RNA. RefSeq lists it as uncharacterized. NCBI's taxonomy places the organism in Eukaryota, Metazoa, Arthropoda, Insecta, Coleoptera, Lampyridae. The transcript has 2 exons. The record is from RefSeq and is a predicted model, not a curated record.